GUGCAGAACCGAGCCAGAACCAAGUUCCAACCUGACAAUUCCGUGCUCAUCACAAACAAAUGUAACAAUGCUUCAUGCUUUCAAAACACUAGAGUCUUGUCUACAAUCAGAACGUAUACGCUUGAAAAUGCUCCACACACAACUCCAACAAGCGAACGAAUAUAUUCAGGAGAUUUGACGCGUAGACUAGUUGACAUGAAUUAACAUUACGUUUUCAUAUUACACUUUUUAUCAUGGGUUCACCAUUUUUGGAGGCCAAAAAACAGGCCGGCAACCAAAGGGUUUAAAUUCACCAGUCCUCCCCUCUCAAUGGGCCAAACAAGGAGACGAUACCUCAAGAUUUGCCAGGCGGUUCAGGUCUGGAUACAGAUGCUGAAGUAGCAGAAGACCCAGCAGGCCAGAAGACACAAAGCCAGCUCCCACCUCACGCUGCCCAGAUCCUCGAUGCCGGCAGACAUACCCAACACCCGCCGCCUGAGGGGGGGUAAGAGGCUGUACUGAACUUGACUGGGACAAUUAUAUAUAUAUUAUAUUAUAUUAUCAGCAGGGAUUUUGUGAUCAUCAUUUGGUAACAAAGACAUGGAAGGAAAAGUAUUUGUCCAGCUGAUCCAACUUAUUUUUCAAUGGUUCACUGUAUAUCCAGGUUAUAAAAUGUAAUAUUUAGAAUAGGUUCUUAUUAGGCAUAAUGCAUUGAAAGUCAUGCAACAAAGGGAAAUUAGACUCACUCCCAGAACUCAGUAGCAGCAGAGGUGUGUUUUUUCAGCAUGGUCAGAUUCGCUGUCCAGUUUGAUGAGGAAGAAUCAUUCCCAUGAAGGCCCAUGCAGUUCGCUGGUUUGGAGAACAAACGUGAAAACAGGUACUCUCAUACAAAGCCUACAAUUCUGCGUUUUCAAGCUUUAGAAAUGAAAUCUGACCUGUGUUCCAUGAGUUCUCGCAGGUGGCCCACGGCGCCUGGGCGCUAAACGAGAACACCAAGUAAAAGAGAGCCCAGGCUUCUAUAAUAAUGAAGCUGAAGUCGUACAGUUUCACCACUGCUUGUCCAUAUCCAAUUCCUGAAAUACCAAACGAAAACGUUAUCUUUUCCACGGUUUGCUCGUAGCGAGAUGAGCCUGAGACAAAAUCAUGUAUUUUCUGCGGUUUGAGUAUCAUAUAGAAAAUAUGUCUUUUAUACAAACUCACCUUGGGCCAGCGGACAUAAUUUCCUCCAGGAGGUGACGAAUCCUUCCUGGGUGUACUGACCAACGGAGCUCUCCAGUAGGAACAGAGGAAUCCCACACACCAUAGCGAACAGACCAUACGGCACCAGAAAGGCCCCUGGGUGGUAAACAGAGAUGAAUGCACGUAUGACGGGUUGAGUUCAGUCGAAUCAGCUCUAGGUUCGGAAGCCGUGUGAUUCACCUCCACCAUUCUUGUAGCAGAGAUCGGGGACUUUGUCAGCCGUGAGUUGAAAUCCAGAAGAACUGCAAACGGAUCUUCUUUUACUGUCUACCGUCACGUAAGGACAUGACUGGAUGCCCAUGUUUUCUGUUAACAGGUGACCUAUAAAUGUCUGAGUUUCCCUCUAGGAGCCAAUACAGUCACACAGCGUGUCUUUGGUUGUCUUUAGUUUACCAAUUCAAAUCUAUGCAGAAACGGGACAGGCCGAAGGCCACCAAACUGGCCCCACGGUUGAGUGGACUCUGCCAGAAGCCGUCCCCGGAGGUCACGGUGACCUCAGUGGUGGUGACAGUGAACGCCUUUCACAAACAGAAAAUCUAAUAAAUGCAAAGUAUGUGUGUUUUAUAUUACCUGAAACUAAUAUAGUGCUCAAGAGUAAUAUUUGAGCUCUGGUUAGAUCAGCCUUACUUGAAACAGUUGUAGUGGAGCUCAUUGUGGGAUGGAUUUGUCCCUGCAGCCAGGCUGUAGGAGAACUGUACUGUGUACUUCGUGUAUGGAAAUGCGGAACCAUCGCUACCUAAAUGUGAGGUCAUUGACAAAUACACACUCUGCAAAUACAUCAAUAUUCCAAAGACUAAGCCUAGAGCAAGCAGGAGCUUGUUUCGUAUUCCAUUAAAAUGAUCAGUUAUUAAUGUUUCACGUUGUCAUGUUGCACUACUGCUACUGACUGCUCCUGAACAACGCUGAUGUCCUAAACCGUUUUUUCUGUCUUAUUUUAUUUUGUCUGUUUCAGACCUAUAUUUCACUACUUUUCUUUCCUCUUGGCCUCAUAUGUUGCCUCAACGUGUCCCCCCCCCCCCCCAUACAGCGACCCAUGGAUGCUGUGCAUUGGGAUGGCAGAAGUUAAUGUGUGUGUCUCCCAUAACCACCCGGGUGGUGACAUUCUGCACACUUUAUACUUUACGUAUUGACGGUUGCUUCUGUUUUCCAAACUGCAUUGCGGCAAUCAUUAGCAAACACUAACUAUAUGUAAGCAUAUGUUUCGCAGUGGUGUUGCUGGUGGGUCGCACAGGGAAAUUCAGAAAUAUUUUAUUUUAGGAACUAUUUUGCCUCUCUCAAAACUAAAUACAGAUCUAAGGCAACAGCAUGAAUCGAGAUGCUGCAUCAAGUCUGCAACCACGUUUUGCAAAGACUUGCUGUGGAAAGCAGGCUCAUUGCGGCCACUAACACUGAUAAAACAUGUGUAUGGGAUGGCUAAUACACAUCUGCACUCAUUUUGUUCGGUUUUGCACAAGUUGCACAUUACUGUUGUUGAAAAAAAAUACAUAUUGUAAUAUAUUAUUUGCAUUGUUUUAACAAGAAUGUUUUAUUACAUUGUUUCCACUGAUGUAACAUGAAUCCUGAGACCUUUGAUACACAGUCAGGGGGAGGUUAAGGGGGUGGGGGGGGUUGUGAGGUUUCCUUUAAAUAUGGAACUUAGUAUCAGAAUACGUAAAGACGUAUAAGAGUAGUG
Molecule: non-coding RNA, 2890 nt
Organism: Gasterosteus aculeatus aculeatus (three-spined stickleback)
Lineage: Eukaryota; Metazoa; Chordata; Actinopteri; Perciformes; Gasterosteidae
Source: RefSeq, a predicted model, not a curated record